AUACUUAGCUGGCAGGGGAGAUACCAUGAUCACGAAGGUGGUUUUCCCAGGGUGAGCUUAUCUAUUGCAUUCCGGAUGUGCUGAGCCCUGCGAUUUCUGCAAACAUGGGAAACUCAACUGCAUAAUUUGUGGUAGUGGGGGACUACUUUCAUGCUCUCUCUUC
Suncus etruscus (white-toothed pygmy shrew) is the source of this 163-nucleotide small nuclear RNA. RefSeq annotates it as U1 spliceosomal RNA. NCBI's taxonomy places the organism in Eukaryota, Metazoa, Chordata, Mammalia, Eulipotyphla, Soricidae. The transcript has a single exon. The record is from RefSeq and is a predicted model, not a curated record.